This 77-nucleotide transfer RNA is filed under the name Trichonephila clavata. Its description in RNAcentral is "tRNA-Arg". It matches the Rfam family "tRNA". From Rfam's summary of the family: Transfer RNA (tRNA) molecules are approximately 80 nucleotides in length. The record is from RNAcentral. Lineage: Eukaryota; Metazoa; Arthropoda; Arachnida; Araneae; Nephilidae.
GUCACUGUUGAGCAAUGGAUAGCUCGUUGGACUUCUAAUCCAAAGGCCGUGGUUUCGAAUCCCACCUGGGAUGGACU